Molecule: ribosomal RNA, 31 nt
Filed under: Atrina pectinata
Lineage: Eukaryota; Metazoa; Mollusca; Bivalvia; Pterioida; Pinnidae
Description: partial 5.8S ribosomal RNA
Source: RNAcentral
ACUACUCUAGGCGGUGGAUCGCUCGGCUCGU